GGCGCUAUAGUGUAGUGGUUAUCACUCGAGAUUCUGAGGAUUUUCUUAUCUUCUCGAAACCCAGGUUCGAGCCCUGGUAGCGCCU
This is a non-coding RNA of Hydnomerulius pinastri MD-312, 85 nucleotides long. The record is from the annotation of a GenBank genome assembly. NCBI's taxonomy places the organism in Eukaryota, Fungi, Basidiomycota, Agaricomycetes, Boletales.